Molecule: non-coding RNA, 716 nt
Organism: Phalacrocorax carbo (great cormorant)
Lineage: Eukaryota; Metazoa; Chordata; Aves; Suliformes; Phalacrocoracidae
Source: RefSeq, a predicted model, not a curated record
GUGGAAAAAAGUCAAAUCACAACAAAGAUGGAGUGGAAAUCUGUGUGGAUCUAUGUGUAAUUCAAGAGGCAAUGCCACAGACAGGAAGAGAGAUAUUGAUGUAGCAGAAGAAGAAUGAAGGAAGAUGGUUGCAAAUAUAUUUCUGGAGGAAAUGAAGUUCCUUUGGCUGGAAUUCAAAGGCUCCCUUUGUCAUCGUUGACCAUGAAUGGAUGAACUUCAUGUAGAUGAUGCCCAUUUCCCAUCUUUGAAUCAAACAUUAAUACCAUUUGACAGUAAUAAAUAACAUUUAUCACAAUAGGGAUCUACUAAUGAUUUUCCCACUAAGCUGGCUCAUCAGAACCUAUCAGCUGACAACUGCAUAAAUGAGAUUAGCAUAACAGCUGCCUAUGACAAAUGUAUCUAAAUCAUUUUUAAUGCCAGCUAGCUCUUUGAUCUCCCUAUCACAUUGUUGCCAAAACUAAAUUCAUUUCUUCAAGAUACAUGUUGUUUAUUACAGAUACAUGUGUAUAUCCCACACUAUUAUGUACUCUAGAGAUUUCAGUAAUUAAAAGAAUUAAAAACACUGAUUGGAUACUGCCACUAUAAUGUAAACUUGCAACACUGCACUUCAGAGUACCAUUCCACUGCUGGCUUAAUUUCCCCCUCCCCUGAAUUGUAGGAUUCAAUGUUUAAUAGCUGUGUGUUUCUCUGGCACAAAAUACAUGUUUUAAUGUAAA